RNA transcript from Fragaria vesca subsp. vesca, 801 nucleotides. RefSeq lists it as uncharacterized. NCBI's taxonomy places the organism in Eukaryota, Viridiplantae, Streptophyta, Magnoliopsida, Rosales, Rosaceae. The record is from RefSeq and is a predicted model, not a curated record. The transcript is spliced from 2 exons.
UCGAUCUCAAGCUUCUCAUACUCAGUCGAUCAAAUCAGACAAUUAAGCUUCGAUCCAGUCCAGAUAACUUUUGUUCAUGCCCUUCGAGAAAUCAAAGAUGCAUCCAGGCAAAAAGACAUGGAUCAUGAUCAACGUGCUUCAACAAACAGCUUUUACUCCUCAUUUUACAUGAUUGAUGAGCUGCUUCUGGUACGUAUUGUCGUUUGUCAUGGAAUUAACUUCUGUGGAGGCACUUGACUGGUAAGUUUCCGUCACACAAUAAGAGCUAGCACUGCUUAAUUCCCGAUCGAUCCUAAAUUACCAUAUGCAACGUCUAUUCAUGAAUUAUUCGAAAGCUUUCUGUAGUUUGUAUUGGAGUGUAAAACCAAACUACAUUCGACAGCUUUGGAAUGUUGAGCAACAAGUACGUGGAUCUAUGAGUAGCUAGCAUAGCAACACCACCUCAUGGAAAAGCUGUGAUACAUCAAACCAUUAAUUGACUAUUAGUGGAAAUAAAAUCAUUGGACUUUAGGGUUAAUUAGGGUUCGAGUUAGAUCAAUGUCGUGAGUGAUCAAUUCAAUGACUCCACAAAUGAGCUGCAAGUAUAGUGAGGCAGAUCAUGAUGGGAAAGCUCAGACCACUCGAGUUUGGGUGCAUGGACCAUUGGACCCAUUGACACAUGCCGUUAAGAGUAGCGCACAUGCCACUUAAGUUCGAAAUAAUAUCCAAGGUUGAAGCGAAAGAGCUCCAUGUUAAAAAUGUAGUUGUUGAGGGUGACGUGACUCCUCUCUCGUCUUAAUUGUGCCGACAAAAAGUUUUAGU